This 329-nucleotide ribosomal RNA is filed under the name uncultured eukaryote. Its description in RNAcentral is "partial 18S ribosomal RNA". It matches the Rfam family "Eukaryotic small subunit ribosomal RNA", at positions 1470 to 1796 of the family's 1831-position model. The record is from RNAcentral.
ACCUUAGAUGUCCUGGGCCGCACGCGCGCUACACUGAGUGUCUGAGAUACGAGUCUGCCUGGUCCGGCAAGGUCUAGGUAAUCGCUAAAAGACACAUCAUGCUUGGGAUAGAUUAUUGCAAAUAUUAAUCUUGAACGAGGAAUUCCUAGUAAGCGCAAGUCAACAGCUUGCGUUGAUUACGUCCCUGCCCUUUGUACACACCGCCCGUCGCUACUACUGAUUGGAUGUUUAAGCGAGGUUCUCGAACUGCUAGCGACUUAGCUUCGGUGAGGUCGCAGUGUGGGAAGUGAACCUAGCUUUGGUGUCUAGAGGAAGUAAAAGUCGUAACA